UCACUGCAAGCUCCGCCUCCCGGGUUCCCGCCAUUCUCCUGCCUCAGCCUCACGAGUAGCUGGGACUACAGGCGCCCCUGGCUGAAGAAUAUUCUAUUCGUGUACAUCCACCACAGUUACUUUAUCCCUUCAUCUGUGGAUGGACAGGUUUUUCCACAUGGCUGCAAAUGACUAGAUUUCACCCAUUUCUAUGGUUGAAGAAUAUUCCGUUCUGGAUGAACAUUGCAGUUUCCUCAUCCCUUCAUCAAUGGAUGAAAAGGAUUCCAGGUCCUGAAAUGCAAGUGAGAAACUGGGCAAAAAAAUAGAGAAGGUGCAGAAAGAUGGAGCAGCUCAGUUUCUUAAGUGCUCACAAAAAUAUAUAUGAAAAGAUAUCAUUGGUUGUCAAAAUAAUGCCAAAAUGAAGACUUUCACAAAAGACAUCCUUGACUGUCAGACAAGAAAAAUUCUUAAUGAGUGUAGGAAAAAAUGAAACAACAUAAUUAAAUACUGAAGACAAUGUGAAGUCUCUAUCUUCUCUGUUUUGGGGACAAUUGUCUGGCAGGAGCCAGAAGAAGGGUUGCAAAGGCACCCAGAUGCCACCCAGAGUUCCCAACGUGACUCUCCUCUGGCAGAGAAAUGCCAAACACUUAUGACGGCUGGUAACUCAAAGUUCAAAUAUGCGCUGGCAAGAUGGCCGAAUAGAAACAUCUUAGGUCUGCAGCUCCCAGCGAGAUCAACGCAGAAGGUGGGUGAUUUCUGCAUUUCCAACUGAGGUACCCUGUUAUCUCAUUGUAACUGGUUAGGCAGUAGGUGCAGCCUACAGAGGGUGAGCAGGAGCAGGUUGGGGUAUCAGCUCACCCAGGAAGUACAAGGAGUGGGUGGAGGGGUGCGCCCUUUCCCAGCCAAGGGAAGCCAUGAUGGACUGUGCUAUCUGGCCCAGACACUACAUUUUCCCCACAGUUUUUGCAAUUUGCAGACCAGGAGAUUACCUAGUGUGCCUACACCACCAGGACCCUGGGUUUCAAGCACAACACUGGGCAGCUGUUCAGGCAGACACUGAGCUAACUGCAGGAGUUUUUUGUUUUGUUUUGUUUUGUUUUCUUACCCCAGUGGCGCCUGGAAUCUCACUGAGACAGAACCGUUCACUCCCCUGGAAAGGGGGCUGACGCCAGAGAGACAAGUGGUCUCCCUCAGCACGUCCCACUCCCACAGAACCCAGCAAGCUAAGAACUACUGGCCUGAAAUUCUGGCUGCUAGCACAGCAGUCUGAAGUUGACCUAGGAUGUUCCAGUUUGGUUGGGGGAGGGGCAUCCACCAUUACUGAGGUACAUCCACCAUUACUGAGCUUUCCCCUGACAGUGCUAAAAAGGCCUAGAGGUUCAGACCGGGCAGAACUCAACACAGUGCAGCAAAGCAGCUGUGGCAGACUGCCUCUCUAGAUUCCUCUUCACCUGGAAGGGCAUCUCUGAAAGAAAGGCAGCAGCCCCAGUCAGGAGCUUAUAGAUAAAACUCCCCUCUUACUGGGACAGAGCAUCUUGGGGAAGGGGGUUGCUGUGGGCACACCUUCAGCAGUCUUAAACAUUCCUGCUUGCCGGCUCUGAGGAGAGCAGCAGAUUUUUACAAGUAGAGUUCUAACAGUACAACACUUGAGCUCUGCUAAGGGACAGACUGACUCCUCAAGUGGAUCACUGACCCCCGUGCCUCCUGACUGGGAGAGACCUCCCAACAGGGGUUGACAGACACCUCAUACAGGAGAGCUUCCACUGGCAUCAGGCCGGUGUCCUCUGGGAUGAAGCUUCUAGAGGAAGAGGUGGGCAGCCAUCUUUGCUGUUCUGCAGCCUCUGCUGGUGAUACCCGGGCAGAUAGAAUCUAGAGUGGAACUCCAGCAAACUACACUCCAGGAGAAGAGGGAUCUGACUGUUAGAAGAAAAACUAGCAAACAGAAAGCAAUAACAUCAACAUCAACAAAAGAAACCCCCACACAGAAACUCCAUCCAA
Molecule: non-coding RNA, 1977 nt
Organism: Chlorocebus sabaeus (green monkey)
Lineage: Eukaryota; Metazoa; Chordata; Mammalia; Primates; Cercopithecidae
Source: RefSeq, a predicted model, not a curated record